Molecule: transfer RNA, 68 nt
Filed under: Chimarra sadayu
Lineage: Eukaryota; Metazoa; Arthropoda; Insecta; Trichoptera; Philopotamidae
Description: tRNA-Asn
Source: RNAcentral
UUAAUUGAAACCAAAACUAGAGGUUUAUCAUUGUUAAUGAUAUCAAUGAAUUUAUUAUUCCAAUUAAA